UACGGAGGGUGCAAGCGUUACUCGGAAUGACUGGGCGUAAAGGGUGCGUAGGCGGUAGUACAAGUUAGAAGUGAAAUACCCAGGGCUUAACUCGGGUGCUGCUUCUAAAACUGUACGACUUGAGUGCAGUAGAGGUUAGUGGAAUUCCUAGUGUAGCGGUGAAAUGCGUAGAUAUCACGCAGAACUCCGAUUGCGAAGGCAGCAUACCGGCGCUCAACUGACGCUCAUGCACGAAAGCGUGGGUAUCGAACAGG
RNAcentral lists this ribosomal RNA (254 nucleotides) under uncultured bacterium. RNAcentral's name for it is "partial 16S ribosomal RNA". It matches the Rfam family "Bacterial small subunit ribosomal RNA", at positions 524 to 776 of the family's 1533-position model. The record is from RNAcentral.